Molecule: unclassified non-coding RNA, 1581 nt
Filed under: Hevea brasiliensis (rubber tree)
Lineage: Eukaryota; Viridiplantae; Streptophyta; Magnoliopsida; Malpighiales; Euphorbiaceae
Source: RNAcentral
CAUAAAGGACUUGAGAUCUAAUUAACAUUCUAGCUUCACUUAAUAAAUCACGCAACUUUAAAGGAUUGAAAACCAAAAUAUGGCAACUGGUAACUAUCCUCAAACAAACAUUUUUAUCAAAAAGUCUACAAUGUAGCAAUAAAGGCAAUAGUCCAACAUACAUCUAGCAGAAAUAGAAGCUUGCUACAAAGAUUGAAUGGUUGACGAAGACAACAGCAGGAGAUCUCUGUAAUAUUUAAUCCAUAUCAAGGUCAGAACAUGCCUCAAAACAUAGUUCCAAUCUCUUACAAGUGGACCUGCAAAGAUAANGAUAAACAAACACAAAGUGCGCAUAUUUAUGAGGAACCAACUACAGGCAGAAAAAUCUGAGCACCAAAGAAACACCAAGAAAUCUUCUAAGAGAACCAUCCUUAGUGUAGCAAAGGCUGAUUCCUUAGAAUUUAAAGUUCAUGCAUCUCAACAGACUUCUAAAAUCAAUUGAGCUUUAGCAGUUCAUCCAGAUAAGUCAAGUUCCAAUAUGUUGUCCAAUUCAACAUUUCUCCCUUCAGCUCAUUUCUUCUUAAAACUCGGAUAUCCAUCAGCUAAUACAAAGCUACUCUCCUGCAAUUUCCAUGGGGAACUUGAGAUAACUAUCAUCCUCAACCAUCAACUAUGGCUCUCUAUCGAUGUAUUCCACAUCAUUGCUUGCACCAGUUCAGUCAAUUUUAUCCUCCGGUGAUGGACUCUGGUAUUCAUUGUGUCCUUCUAGUCCUUCAACAGACAUUGACUGUCUUCUUUUGUGAUGCUUUGAUUUUUCAUCUCUAUUUUCACCCAUUUUAUGACUAGAGUGCAGCUUGCCUUCUGGAGAUUUUGACCUAGAGUGUCUUCUGUGUUUUGAUUUAUUUUCAUCCCCACCUUUUGGGGAUGACCGGCUUCCUCUGUGAUGCUUCCCCUCAGCAGACAAUGAUCUAGACCGCUUUCUGUCACGAUGCUUAGACUUUUUAUCAAUGGUUUCAUUUCUUUUCUCUCUGAAGUGGUACCUGCCUUCAACAGAUUUUGACCUAGACCUCCUUCUAUCACGACGUUUUGAUCUUUCAUCCCUGGUUUCAUUCGCUUUUUCAUUGGAGCGAUUAUGUGCUUCCACAGAUUUUGACCUCAACCGCCUCCUGUGUUUUGUUUCAUUUUCAUCCAAACUUCUAGGGGAUGACUUACUUCCAUUAUUCCUCUCUUCAGAAGAUAAUGACCUGGAUCUCCUCCUCUCGUGUUUCUUUGUCUUUUCAUCCUGGGUUUCUUUUGCCCGGUCAUUGGUAUCUUCCACAGAUUUGGACCUAGAACGUUUUCUGUAUUUUUGUUUGUCAUUGCUGUCAUUUAUUGGAGAUGACCUACUUCCCCUAUGAUGCCUUGGUGAUCUUGAACCACCAUGGGAUGAUUUUCUCACUCUAUGUGGUGAACUUUCUCGGCGGUGUUUUGGUGAGCCUGAAUCAGCUCUAUAGGACUUUUUCCUUCGAGGACUCACACUCCUACUCCUAUUUCUCCUUGAAACAGAGGAAUGACGAUCAUACAAUCGAUCCUGCCUCCUAGUUCUGUCACUAUCAUCCCUAA